UUCAGUUUCUUUCUUUUUCUUCUGAACUACAUGGCAGACAUUUUUUUCUCUUUCAAUCAUUAAGAUGUUAUAGAUUAUUAUUAAGAUGUUGUAUCUAUAACAUCUUAAUGAUUGAAAAAUAAAAAUGUCUGCCAUGUAGUUCAGAAGAAAAAUAAAGAAACUGAA
RNAcentral lists this small RNA (165 nucleotides) under Mytilus galloprovincialis (Mediterranean mussel). The record is from RNAcentral. Lineage: Eukaryota; Metazoa; Mollusca; Bivalvia; Mytilida; Mytilidae.